AGUACACGUUUUGCCUCCCUCAUUUCUCCAAGCCAGUCGCUCUGCACUGCGGCAGGCAUGGGAAGCAGACACACACUCACACACACACUCUUCUCUACUCCACUCCCAUAUUUUUUGGAAGGGAACAGACGAGGAGCGAGAAAAAUCAAGAGAGCACGGCAUUUUUCGUAUUUUCAUAACGGAGCUGCUUUAAAAUCCAGUAGAAACGUUUUUCUGUCUUGUGACAAAACUUGUUUCAAAGAGAUUUGGAGUAUCGGCACUACAAACGGAAUAUGCACAACUCGACCUACCAGCCCCCCCAAAACAAGGAAAUUUGGACCUAUGUGAAGGACUUUUGAAAGCGUGCGUAAAUGCAAUGUUUGAAGAGGCUUUUUUGGGAUGUUGUUAAGAAGGUUUCUCCAUGCUCUUCCUUUCUCUGGCCUCUGGGUCUCUGACCAUCCUCUCCAUGCUAUUGCUGAUAAAGCAAUGGAAAUUACCAUCUCUCCAUCUCUCACUCCAGGACAUAGAUGCAGCCGGGCCUUGCAAUUUUGCAGAUUACGCUCUAUCCAUAUGCAAGAUAAAUGAAAUCCAGUACAGCGGUAUUCAGCUGGUGGAGCUGUCCAGCAACCGGCACCCAGCCCGGAGAAAUCCCUGCCCCAGUAGAGGAGAAGAAGAGACUGAGGACGGAUCGAUGAAUGAAGGAAAGAGAGAGAGAGAGAGCUUCCAGACUGCGUGACCUACAUUCAACACUGUCUGGAGUCAAAAACAGAGUGAGAGGGAGAGGGAGAGAGAGAGAGAGAGAGAGAGCAAGAGAGCCAGCCCAAACAGAAAGCGGGAGGAUGAGACAGCAGGAAAGAAAGAUAUUUGUAUGGUGGAUCGCUUUGUCCGGCUGAUGCUGUUAUCAAGAACAGCAGCAGCGGCUCUGACUGUGCGUGAGCCUGUCUGAUGAGCUUGGCUUCGAAUCUAUCUGAUUGCCUCCGGAUGGAAAGCUGCCUCUCUGAAAGCAGUGUGGUUCUGAAUGCAGCUUUUAGAGACCAACUCUCUGAAACUUCAUUAGUAUCUCCAGAACACAACUUGCUGGGCUGCUCUGGAUCCCAGACUCGCUACCGGCCCUGUUUCGACAACGAAUCCAUGUACAAUCCAACAGGGAAGAGAGUCGGUCUAUCGAUCCAAAGAAUGGGAGGCAUCAAAAGAUCCUUAGGAGCAGGAGCUGAAAGGAGCAGCGAUGGCGAAGAAUCAGGAAGCAACCAAUUCGGAAGGAGACUACCAGACAUGAGAGGAAUACUUUUUCCAAUUGGACCAUGUGUAGAUCGGUCACCUCCACUGUUUACCGUGGGAAUAAAUAUCAGUACAAAUAGGGGAAGAACUCUGGUAUUCCAAUUGCAUGGCAUCACUUUGAUCCUCAUUUGAUCAGAUUAAAUGUCAAUGUAAA
Long non-coding RNA from Gasterosteus aculeatus aculeatus (three-spined stickleback), 1411 nucleotides. Lineage: Eukaryota; Metazoa; Chordata; Actinopteri; Perciformes; Gasterosteidae. The record is from Ensembl.